This 375-nucleotide RNase P RNA is filed under the name Salmonella enterica. RNAcentral's name for it is "RNase P RNA component class A". It matches the Rfam family "Bacterial RNase P class A". Rfam says of the family: Ribonuclease P (RNase P) is a ubiquitous endoribonuclease, found in archaea, bacteria and eukarya as well as chloroplasts and mitochondria. Its best characterised activity is the generation of mature 5'-ends of tRNAs by cleaving the 5'-leader elements of precursor-tRNAs. Cellular RNase Ps are ribonucleoproteins. Lineage: Bacteria; Pseudomonadati; Pseudomonadota; Gammaproteobacteria; Enterobacterales; Enterobacteriaceae. The record is from RNAcentral.
GAAGCUGACCAGACAGUCGCUGCUUCGUCGUCGUCCUUUCGGGGAGACGGGCGGAGGGGAGGAAAGUCCGGGCUCCAUAGGGCAGGGUGCCAGGUAACGCCUGGGGGGGAAACCCACGACCAGUGCAACAGAGAGCAAACCGCCGAUGGCCCACGUAAGUGGGAUCAGGCAAGGGUGAAAGGGUGCGGUAAGAGCGCACCGCGCGGCUGGUAACAGUCCGUGGCACGGUAAACUCCACCCGGAGCAAGGCCAAAUAGGGGUUCAUAAGGUACGGCCCGUACUGAACCCGGGUAGGCUGCUUGAGCCAGUGAGCGAUUGCUGGCCUAGAUGAAUGACUGUCCACGACAGAACCCGGCUUAUCGGUCAGUUUCACCU